UACGGGAGGCAGCAGUGGGGAAUCUUCCGCAAUGGACGAAAGUCUGACGGAGCAACGCCGCGUGAGUGAUGACGGCCUUCGGGUUGUAAAGCUCUGUUAAUCGGGACGAAAGGCCUUCUUGCGAAUAGUGAGAAGGAUUGACGGUACCGGAAUAGAAAGCCACGGCUAACUACGUGCCAGCAGCCGCGGUAAUACGUAGGUGGCAAGCGUUGUCCGGAAUUAUUGGGCGUAAAGCGCGCGCAGGCGGAUAGGUCAGUCUGUCUUAAAAGUUCGGGGCUUAACCCCGUGAUGGGAUGGAAACUGCCAAUCUAGAGUAUCGGAGAGGAAAGUGGAAUUCCUAGUGUAGCGGUGAAAUGCGUAGAUAUUAGGAAGAACACCAGUGGCGAAGGCGACUUUCUGGACGAAAACUGACGCUGAGGCGCGAAAGCCAGGGGAGCGAACGGGAUUAGAUACCCCGGUAGUCCUGGCCGUAAACGAUGGGUACUAGGUGUAGGAGGUAUCGACCCCUUCUGUGCCGGAGUUAACGCAAUAAGUACCCCGCCUGGGGAGUACGACCGCAAGGUUGAAACUCAAAGGAAUUGACGGGGGCCCGCACAAG
RNAcentral lists this ribosomal RNA (598 nucleotides) under uncultured bacterium. RNAcentral's name for it is "bacterial SSU rRNA". It matches the Rfam family "Bacterial small subunit ribosomal RNA", at positions 340 to 929 of the family's 1533-position model. The record is from RNAcentral.